GACAUACUGAGGUUCAUACCCCAUAGGUCUUGGAUACUGGAAUGUUCCUAGGAAGAAAGCUACGGCGCUUCAGGAUGGGUCUGCGGCCUAUCAGGUUGUAGUGAGUGUAAUGGACUCACUAGCCGACGACGGGUACGGGCUGUGGGAGCAGUUGCCCGGAGAUGGACUCUGAGACACGAGUCCAGGCCCUACGGGGCGCAGCAGGCGCGAAAACUUCACAAUGCGCGGAAGCGCGAUGAGGGGAUUCCAAGUGCAUGCACUCUGUGUAUGCUGUUUACUAGUCUAAAAAGCUAGUAGAGUAAGGGCUGGGUAAGACUGGUGCCAGCCGCCGCGGUAAUACCAGCGGCCCUAGUGGUGAUCGUUAUUAUUGGGCCUAAAGCGUCCGUAGCCGGUCCGGUAAAUCUCUGGGUAAAUCGUUGGGCUUAACUCAACGAAUUCUGGGGAGACUGCCGGACUUGGGACCGGGAGAGGUCGGAGGUACUCCAGGGGUAGGGGUGAAAUCCUGUAAUCCUUGGGGGACCACCGGUGGCGAAGGCGUCCGACCAGAACGGGUCCGACGGUAAGGGACGAAGCCCUGGGGCGCGAACCGGAUUAGAUACCCGGGUAGUCCAGGGUGUAAACGCUGUGCGCUUGGUGUUGGGGGUCCUUAGUGGGCAUCCAGUGCCGGAGAGAAGUUGUUAAGCGCACCGCCUGGGGAGUACGGUCGCAAGACUGAGACUUAAAGGAAUUGGCGGGGGAGAAU
This 742-nucleotide ribosomal RNA is filed under the name uncultured archaeon. RNAcentral's name for it is "bacterial SSU rRNA". It matches the Rfam family "Archaeal small subunit ribosomal RNA", at positions 134 to 879 of the family's 1478-position model. The record is from RNAcentral.